AUUCUAUGAUGUGGACACUUUCGCAGCAUAUUCUUGAACCUAUUCCAGGCUUCAUCGAAAUUCUCUAAGUUGCCUUGGCGGAAGGCAAAAAUGUCGUGCUUGAGUUU
RNAcentral lists this small nucleolar RNA (107 nucleotides) under Olea europaea subsp. europaea. RNAcentral's name for it is "Plant small nucleolar RNA R71". It matches the Rfam family "Plant small nucleolar RNA R71". Rfam says of the family: R71 is a member of the C/D box family of snoRNAs containing the C (UGAUGA) and D (CUGA) box motifs. Multiple nearly identical copies of this snoRNA have been identified in Arabidopsis, and it is thought to function as a 2'-O-ribose methylation guide for 18S ribosomal RNA. Lineage: Eukaryota; Viridiplantae; Streptophyta; Magnoliopsida; Lamiales; Oleaceae. The record is from Rfam by way of RNAcentral.